AGGCUUUGAUCCUGGCUCAGAAUGAACGUUGGCGGCGUGGAUUAGGCAUGCGAGUCGCGCGAGAAUGUAGCAAUACAGGAAAGCGGCGAAAGGGAGAGGACAACAUGGGAAUCUGCCCGGGGGUCGGGGAUAGCGUCGGGAAACUGGCGGUAAUACUCGAUAAUGUUUACGGACCAAAGGUUUACUGCCCCUGGAUGAGCCCAUGCCCCAUUAGCUAGUUGGCGGUGUAAUAGACCACCAAGGCGAUGAUGGGUAGCUGGUGUGAGAGCACGACCAGCCUCACUGGCACUGAGACACUGGCCAGACACCUACGGGUGGCUGCAGUCGAGAAUCUUCGGCAAUGGACGAAAGUCUGACCGAGCGACGCCGCGUGCGGGACGAAGGCCUUCGGGUUGUAAACCGCUGUCGAGGGGGAUUAAGGGCAACUUGAAAGAACCUCUGGUAGGAAGGAGAGGGAUA
RNAcentral lists this ribosomal RNA (459 nucleotides) under uncultured Planctomycetaceae bacterium. RNAcentral describes it as "bacterial SSU rRNA". It matches the Rfam family "Bacterial small subunit ribosomal RNA", at positions 8 to 500 of the family's 1533-position model. Lineage: Bacteria; Pseudomonadati; Planctomycetota; Planctomycetia; Planctomycetales; Planctomycetaceae. The record is from RNAcentral.